UGGAUUAGUGGCGCACGGGUGAGUAACGCAUAGAUAACAUGCCCUUUAGUUUGGGAUAGCCACUAGAAAUGGUGAUUAAUACCAAAUACUACCCUACGGGGGAAAGAUUUAUCGCUAAAGGAUUGGUCUAUGUCCUAUCAGCUUGUUGGUGAGGUAAAGGCUCACCAAGGCAAUGACGGGUAUCCGGCCUGAGAGGGUGAACGGACACACUGGAACUGAGACACGGUCCAGACUCCUACGGGAGGCAGCAGUUAGGGAAUAUUGCUUUUUUUUGGGCGCAAGCCUGAAGCAGCAACGCCGCGUGGAGGAUGAAGGUUUAGGAUGUAACUCCUUUGUAGAGAAA
RNAcentral lists this ribosomal RNA (343 nucleotides) under uncultured Helicobacter sp. RNAcentral's name for it is "bacterial SSU rRNA". It matches the Rfam family "Bacterial small subunit ribosomal RNA", at positions 88 to 445 of the family's 1533-position model. The record is from RNAcentral. Lineage: Bacteria; Pseudomonadati; Campylobacterota; Epsilonproteobacteria; Campylobacterales; Helicobacteraceae.